UUGCAGCCCCGAUUGUAGCGGCAUCCUUUUGGCGAGGCGGCGAAGCGAGGCGGCAAAGCGAAGCGGAGCCGACAAAGCCAAAAGAUACAGCGCAAAGCGGGAAUUGUC
Molecule: small RNA, 108 nt
Filed under: Chryseobacterium sp. Leaf180
Lineage: Bacteria; Pseudomonadati; Bacteroidota; Flavobacteriia; Flavobacteriales; Weeksellaceae
Description: Flavo-1 RNA
Rfam family: Flavo-1 RNA
Source: Rfam by way of RNAcentral